RNAcentral lists this ribosomal RNA (406 nucleotides) under uncultured bacterium. RNAcentral describes it as "partial 16S ribosomal RNA". It matches the Rfam family "Bacterial small subunit ribosomal RNA", at positions 30 to 526 of the family's 1533-position model. The record is from RNAcentral.
AUUGAACGCUGGCGGCAGGCUUUACACAUGCAAGUCGAACGAGUGGCGGACGGGUGAGUAAUGUAUGGGAACCUGCCUGAUGGAGGGGGAUAACUACUCGAAACAGUAGCUAAUACCGCAUACCAUCAGAGGUGCCCAGAUGGGAUUAGCUUGUUGGUGGGGUAACGGCUCACCAAGGCAACGAUCCCUAGCUGGUUUGAGAGGAUGACCAGCCACACGGGAACGGAGACACGGUCCAGACUCCUACGGGAGGCAGCAGUGGGGAAUAUUGCACAAUGGGCGCAAGCCUGAUGCAGCCAUGCCGCGUGUAUGAAGAAGGCCUUCGGGUUGUAAAGUACUUUCAGCGGGGAAGCGUUACCCGCAGAAGAAGCACCGGCUAACUACGUGCCAGCAGCCGCGGUAAUUC